UAGGGAAUCUUCCACAAUGGACGCAAGUCUGAUGGAGCAACGCCGCGUGAGUGAAGAAGGUUUUCGGAUCGUAAAGCUCUGUUGUUGGUGAAGAAGGAUAGAGGCAGUAACUGGUCUUUAUUUGACGGUAAUCAACCAGAAAGUCACGGCUAACUACGUGCCAGCAGCCGCGGUAAUACGUAGGUGGCAAGCGUUGUCCGGAUUUAUUGGGCGUAAAGCGAGCGCAGGCGGAAUGAUAAGUCUGAUGUGAAAGCCCACGGCUCAACCGUGGAACUGCAUCGGAAACUGUCAUUCUUGAGUGCAGAAGAGGAGAGUGGAAUUCCAUGUGUAGCGGUGGAAUGCGUAGAUAUAUGGAAGAACACCAGUGGCGAAGGCGACUCUCUGGUCUGCAACUGACGCUGAGGCUCGAAAGCAUGGGUAGCGAACAGG
This 429-nucleotide ribosomal RNA is filed under the name bacterium. RNAcentral's name for it is "partial 16S ribosomal RNA". It matches the Rfam family "Bacterial small subunit ribosomal RNA", at positions 355 to 776 of the family's 1533-position model. The record is from RNAcentral.